GUGGGGAAUAUUGGGCAAUGGGCGAAAGCCUGACCCAGCAACGCCGCGUGAAGGAAGAAGGUUUUCGGAUCGUAAACUUCUAUCCUUGGUGAAGAUAAUGACGGUAGCCAAGAAGGAAGCCCCGGCUAACUACGUGCCAGCAGCCGCGGUAAUACGUAGGGGGCAAGCGUUGUCCGGAAUGAUUGGGCGUAAAGGGCGCGUAGGCGGCCCGGUAAGUCUGAAGUGAAAGUCCUGCUUUUAAGGUGGGAAUUGCUUUGGAUACUGUCGGGCUUGAGUGCAGGAGAGGUAAGCGGAAUUCCCGGUGUAGCGGUGAAAUGCGUAGAGAUCGGGAGGAACACCAGUGGCGAAGGCGGCUUACUGGACUGUAACUGACGCUGAGGUGCGAAAGUGUGGGGAGCAAACAGGAUUAGAAACCCCAGUAGUCC
Molecule: ribosomal RNA, 425 nt
Filed under: uncultured bacterium
Lineage: Bacteria
Description: partial 16S ribosomal RNA
Rfam family: Bacterial small subunit ribosomal RNA
Source: RNAcentral